GACGAACCGUGCGAACGUUAUUCGGAAUCACUGGGCUUAAAGGGCGCGUAGGCGGCCGCUCAAGUCCGGGGUGAAAGCCCCCAGCUCAACUGGGGAAGUGCCUCGGAUACUGAGUGGCUCGAGGGAGGUAGGGGCGUGUGGAACUUCCGGUGGAGCGGUGAAAUGCGUAGAGAUCGGAAGGAACGCCGGUGGCGAAAGCGACACGCUGGACCUCUUCUGACGCUGAGGCGCGAAAGCCAGGGGAGCAAACGGG
RNAcentral lists this ribosomal RNA (253 nucleotides) under uncultured bacterium. RNAcentral's name for it is "partial 16S ribosomal RNA". It matches the Rfam family "Bacterial small subunit ribosomal RNA", at positions 524 to 776 of the family's 1533-position model. The record is from RNAcentral.